Oncorhynchus nerka (sockeye salmon) is the source of this 417-nucleotide long non-coding RNA. RefSeq lists it as uncharacterized. Lineage: Eukaryota; Metazoa; Chordata; Actinopteri; Salmoniformes; Salmonidae. The transcript is spliced from 3 exons. The record is from RefSeq and is a predicted model, not a curated record.
AAGUGUAGAUAUAGCGUAUAACUGUUAACAUUGUCUAAUGGAAUCUAGGAUCCCCGACAUUUACGCAGCUUUUACGCGAUUUACCUGAUCUGGAACAUGAUGGGGGUUUGCAGGAGCAAAAGUCUGGCAGACAAUCACCAACGGCCUUUUUUCGUUCCGACAUACAGCCCUUUAUGAUAAAGGAUGCGUUAUGGACAGCUGACACGCAGGACUUUGAUGCAAUUCUACCGUUCACUGUGGCCCAAGUACACUGCUCAGAAUCAAGCCCACCCGAAAACUACUGUUGGGCCGGGAACUUGCUGCUUCACGAGCCGGCGCUCCAGGGACAAGACUGCCCGGAGACAGACCCAGCAGAAUCUGGAACGCUAGAGGGAAAAAGUCACACACCCCCGGUUUCGGCGAUUCGUCACAACAAGC